GCCUCACCUGGUGCCAAGCCAGCUGUUUACUUUCCCGCCAUUUCCAGCUCUUCGUGAGGAGAACUGGAUGAUUUCCUGAGAUCUGAGGCCUUCUGGAAUCACAGCGGCCAAGCGGAAUGGAUUGGUUUCACUGCAACCAGUGCUUCCGAAAAGAUGGGGCCCAUUUCUUUGUCACUAGCUGCGGCCAUAUUUUCUGCAAAAAGUGUAUGACUCUGGAAAAAUGUGCUGUUUGUGGAACUGCCUGCAAGCAUCUGGCUCUUUCUGAUAAUCUGAAGCCUCAGGAGAAGAUGUUUUUCAAAAGUCCUGUGGAGACAGCUUUGCAGUAUUUUAGUCACAUCUCUCAGGUGUGGAAUUUCCAGAAGAAACAAACAGAUCUCCUCAUCGCCUUUUAUAAGCAUAGAAUUACAAAGUUAGAAACAGCCAUGCAGGAGGCACAGCAAGCACUGGUCAGCCAGGACAAAGAAUUGUCAGUCUUAAGGAAGGAGAAUGGAGAACUAAAGAAAUUUCUAGCCAUUCUAAAGGAAUCUCCAAGUCGGUACCAAGGAAGCAGGUCAAACACACCUCGACCAGUGGGUAUUACUUCCCCAUCACAAUCAGUUACCCCACGACCCAGUUUCCAGCAUAGCAGUCAAGUGGUCAGUCGAUCCCCCUCAGCAGAAUCCAUUCCUUAUAGAGAGGCUGGCUUUGGUAGCUUGGGACAAGGAGGCAGAGGUCUGCAGGGAAGGAGAACUCCCAGAGACUCUUAUAAUGAAACCCCUUCACCAGCUUCAACUCACAGCCUAUCUUAUAGACCUUCAUCUGCCUCCUCUGGACAGGGGAUUUUUUCUUUCAGACCAUCCCCAAAUGGGCAUUCAGGCCACACAAGAGUCCUCACCCCCAACAAUUUUGCUCAGAGGGAGAGCAGAACUACACUAGAGAGUCUUCCUAGUUUCCAGCUACCAGUCCUGCAGACUCUUUACCAACAACAGCGGCAGAUGGGAUUACCCAGUGGGAGAGAAGCAUGGACCACUUCCAGAUAGAUCAUCUUCAAGUAGGGCAAUUUACUUCUAUAGAAGGAUGCGCCCUCAUAGAUGGAGCAGUGGUUCAUCCAGGACACAAUUGAAAUGGCCUGGGAGGCACUGCUUGCAUGGCCAGGUGCUAAACUACCAUUUAGAAAUUGUGGCCCACUGGGAACACCACCGAAUCCAAGCUGGAGAAUACUUUAUGAUGGCAACGCUUGACAUCUACUUAACCUCAUUUGUGUCCUAUUAUAUAAAGACACAAUAACACUUUAGAGAUAAGGAAAAUAAAGCAUAAGGAACAAAGCAGUCCAGUGUGAGGAUGAAUACUGCCAGAUGGGAAUAUAAGGCAGGCACAUUUAUAAGUAUUAAAAGCUGUAAGGAAGCAUUUUACUUUCGUUUAGGUGGCUUGAUGUCCUUCACAUUUUCAGCAUCAGCUUGAUAUUUCAGUGUAACAUACUGCAAACAACAUAUUUGGUGUACUAUACGCAUUCAGUUUUCACUUACACUUACAAAACACCAGUUAUGGAACACUCCCUGAAACAGAAUGGUGGCUUAAAUCAAGGCACAGCUGUAUAGCUGGUACUUCCCUGGAAGAAUCUGGCUUUGAACUAAGAGAAAACUACAACCAGAAUGGCUUGUGAGAAUUAUAACAGGUAGGGUAGACCCUAUAGUAAUCAAAAUCAUAAUAAAACACUAUAGUAUCUUG
Symphalangus syndactylus (siamang) is the source of this 1707-nucleotide RNA transcript. It is a transcript of the gene named ring finger protein 212B, with no coding region annotated. The record is from RefSeq and is a predicted model, not a curated record. NCBI's taxonomy places the organism in Eukaryota, Metazoa, Chordata, Mammalia, Primates, Hylobatidae.